UUUUUCCGGCUCCUCUGCAGCUAGUGCGCGCGCGAACGUUUUGGCGGGUUUUCCACUUCUGGUUUCGUCGUCUCGGAAAUAAGCAACGUACGAGCAGGCACGGAAGAAGCUGGAGCGUAGCCAAUACACAUCGGAACUAAGCAGCGACUCAGAAAGGCCGCAAUGCAAGAGGAUGCGGAGGCCACCGCCCCAGUGGUCGCAGUCUGACGAGGAACCAGUGCGACACAAGCCAACAAAGGCAGCCCCCCGAAAAGUGCCUGCAGUACUGGCAGAUUUUCCUCAAGGCCUGUUCACUGCUGCAUCAAAGGAGGGAAGCAGUUCUGCAGGAAGACAAAGUAGCAGCCACUCGCAAGUGCCCUCAGAUUCCUC
This 369-nucleotide long non-coding RNA is filed under the name Ixodes scapularis (black-legged tick). RNAcentral's name for it is "uncharacterized LOC115321915, transcript variant X2". Lineage: Eukaryota; Metazoa; Arthropoda; Arachnida; Ixodida; Ixodidae. The record is from RNAcentral.